UAGAAUUCCAAAUCCAUGUACUUUGAUUUACAACAGGAACUGAAAAAGCAUCCAGAAGACAAAUUUCUCUUCAAACAAAAGUAUUCAGAUUAGAGGGUCGAACCGAUAAAAGAGAGAAAAUCCGUCUAUUGACUAGAAGAAAUAAAACAUAGAUCAGGAUAAAGUGUGUAUUAACGAUCAUGGGUAAUAGUGGAGGAACGAGUGGCGGAGGCGGCCAAGGAAGUGGUGGAGGAGGCGGCGGUGGGAGUGCUGGAUCCCAGGGAGGCGG
Molecule: long non-coding RNA, 268 nt
Organism: Mya arenaria
Lineage: Eukaryota; Metazoa; Mollusca; Bivalvia; Myida; Myidae
Exons: 3
Source: RefSeq, a predicted model, not a curated record